UAGCCGGUGAAAGUCCGGUCGCGGGAGGGGCCAAGCCCCCGCGUAGCUAGGAUGCCUGCGCACGGCGAAAUCUGUGUGUAGAAGCGCAUCGACAGAAGUACGGUUGUAAGACCGUGCGAGCAACCGACCAGGCCGCAACAUGA
RNAcentral lists this non-coding RNA (143 nucleotides) under Paenibacillus typhae. The record is from RNAcentral. Lineage: Bacteria; Bacillati; Bacillota; Bacilli; Caryophanales; Paenibacillaceae.